GAGUCAGGGAUGGGAGGCUUCCUUUGU
This 27-nucleotide non-coding RNA is filed under the name Homo sapiens (human). Lineage: Eukaryota; Metazoa; Chordata; Mammalia; Primates; Hominidae. The record is from RNAcentral.